RNAcentral lists this ribosomal RNA (1449 nucleotides) under Triticum aestivum (bread wheat). Its description in RNAcentral is "partial small subunit ribosomal RNA". The record is from RNAcentral. Lineage: Eukaryota; Viridiplantae; Streptophyta; Magnoliopsida; Poales; Poaceae.
AUGACGCUGUGGUUGCCGCUUCUUCUCUGGAUCACUGCGGCCGCCGGCGUACCCCAAGCUCGCGCUCAGCCUGACAACAAAGGAUUCAUAACCAUAGAUUGUGGUCUCUCGGAGGAGAUGGGCUAUGUGGACAACGCCACCAAGCUCUCGUACACCCCCGACGCUGGCUUCAUCGAUGCCGACACCGGCACGAACCAUAUUAUCUCGCCGGAGUAUGUCGUCCCGGCUUUGGCCAAGGUUUGGUACAGUUUGCGUAGCUUCCCAACCGGCAUGCGGAACUGCUACACGCUUCGCUCCCUCAUGCCCGGGCUCAAGUACAUGAUCCGAGGGAGGUUCAAGUACGGCAACUACGACGGCCUUGAUCGGCUGCCAGUGUUUGACCUCCAUAUCGGCGCCAACUACUGGCACACCGUGAACAUCACGAACUCAACGGAUGCGGUGUUCGUGGAGGCCAUCGUGGUGGUGCCGGAAGACUUCAUGCAGGUCUGCCUGGUGGACACCGGUGGCGGUACGCCGUUCAUUUCUGGCCUGGACCUGAGGCCGCUGAAAAGAACACUCUACCCGCAGGUGACCCCGGCACAGGGUCUGGUCCUAUUUGCCAGGCUCAACUUCGGCCCGACCGACGAGACCUUCUACGUUAGGUAUCCCGAUGAUCCACACGACCGGAUAUGGAGGCCUUGGGGCAACAAGGUAAUGUGGACCGAGAUAUCAAUGGCCAGCGGGGUGCAGAACAUAGCCAACGAAGACUUAUUCGAGGCGCCCAAGGCGGUGUUGAAGACGGCGAUCAAGCCUCGGAAUGCCUCUGGGGACUUAGAAUUCACCUGGUACCCCGUGCCCACCCCCAAAGACCCGUCCCCCGGGUACAUUGCCAUCCUGCACUUCGCCGAGCUAGAGAUCCUACCCAACAACACUGUGCGCCAGCUGAAUAUCACCCUCAACAGCAAGCCGUUGUAUUUGUAUACAAGCGACAUCGUGCCGGAUCGUAUCUAUGAUAUCGCCCUCUACAACAGUGGCCCCUUCAUCCGUCACAACAACUACACAAUCUCCAUCAACGCCACGGCUAACUCGACGUUGCCGCCUAUCAUCAACGCGGCCGAGAUCUUCUCCCUCAUCCCCACAACCAACCUUGGCACCGACUCCCAGGAUGUUUCCGCAAUCAUGGCGAUCAAGGCCAAGUAUCAAGUGAAGAAAAACUGGAUGGGUGAUCCGUGUGUUCCGAAGAGUAUGGCAUGGGACAGGUUGACCUGCAGCUACCCACCCGGCAGCCCUCCAAGGAUCACAAGCGUAAACCUGUCCUCCAGUGGUCUAAAUGGCGAUAUAUCAUCAACUUUCGCGAAUCUCAAGACAAUCCAAUACCUGGACCUGUCAAACAAUAACCUUACAGGCUCAAUUCCAGAUGCCCUUUCGCAAUUACCUUCACUGACGUUUCUGGAUGUUUCAGGCAACUAG